CAAGAAAUCAUGCCUUUUUACCCGUGAUUCAAAUUAAUAGUCAGUAAAGGUUACUAAAUUAUAAACUGAUUUUACUCAUUUCCUUCUUCCUCAUGUUUUCCUCAUAAAGUGCCCUCUCCCUCUACUGCGCAGAAAUACAUUCACCCAUAGUAAGCCGCAAGAUAGAGCAGAUGCCUCCCGUCUUCUCUCCCAUUUCCAUUGGCGCUCAAAUCAUCUUUCUUACCACUAGCAGCAACCGUCACAAGGUAAUUCUCUCAACUCUCUCUCUCUCUCUCUAUUCCUCUUUGUUUCGAUUUUGAUGGCCCUUUUGCUCGUGAAAUGCAAAGCUAAAGUGCGUAAAUAUUAAUUUGGUGUUUGUAGUAAGUGUAGAAGAAGGUUGCCCUUCUAUAGAUUCAUAUUCCAAUUAAAUUAAAUAUAGGUUUCAUCGGUCAGGGAUUAGGGUUUCUUUACUAGUCAAAAUCCAUUGCUCUUUUGUUGUUUCUUUGUACUUUUGACCUACUUUGUUCUUCUUCCUUUGCUGGUAGGUCUCAUAUGUCUCAAUAUUUUUUAUUUUUCUCCAACAUCUAUAGUAGAAAUGUUUAAUUUAGACUUACCUUGCUCUAAUUUUAUGCAUAACGUUGAUGCAAAAAAGAGAAGAAGGUAAAAUUUAAGAUAUAGUUUGGUAACUUUGAUUUUCUGGAAAAAUAAAGAUUUCAUUUGGUAAUUGGAUUCACAAUAUGACUAUGUUUCUUAAAGUUUUUUGACGGCCGACCCUUUUGAUGUAAAAUCAAAUUGAUAUGCAUUUAAAUUGCUUCUCAUGAGUGCAAUUUAAUUACUAAUAAUUUCAUUCACAAUGGGUGAAGGAGAAUUCACAAUAUAGGGAUAUUUUUUAAGACGUCACACUUUGCUGUCUUAUACCAUCCUCUAACAAAGUAUGUUAUCUCUUUUUGUUGACAAUGAGUUUUUGGAUUACAUGUCUAGUUCAUUAUUAUACCUUUGAGGUAAAAAUUUAUUCUUCUAUUAUUCCUGAUAUAAUCAUAUUAAUACAUCUGAUAGAAGAUGUCCAAAUAUCUGCAGUAAUGCAACUUGAUUUAUGUUUGAGAGAAUAGGUCCUAAACGACAUAUUUUUAAAGCUAUUUUAUCUAGUUGUUUGUAUUGUUCGUUAGAUAUAAGUUGUUGAUGGAUUAGUUUUUCUUCACUUACUAACUCAAGUUAAUUGAAUGUUUACCUUAUUUGAGUGGAAACAUUCGCAGUUGUCUUCUGGAGUACACUCAUAUAAAGAAGAAUUAGAAGGUAAUUUCAUAUUGUGUUCCUAAAUCUUGAAGGAGGAAACCAUAUUAUUCUAUUUUUUAUUGAAAAGUUAUUCUAGUUAUUGAAGUUAUUCUGUCCACCUUGUUUUAUUUAUGUACAUGCGAUUACCCGUUCAAGAUAUAUAUAGAUAUGAAGGUCUCUAUAUCGUUCUGUAAUAAUAGUCUUGGAUUCUUAUCUUCAUGCCAUAGCACUUCCAUUAACUUAUUAAACCAUUUAGUAGGUAUCUUCUAUGAAUAACAUCGAUAAUCGUCAUUUAUCAAGCCAAAACUUGUAAAGUUCCACAUGUUCAAACUGUUAGUGUAAGUUAUUUGAUGAAUUCAUCGUUCGUAUCAAUUCUCUUGAGAUAGAAGAUGUUUUUUCAACUAUAUUAUAUUCAAAUGGUUGGCGUAAGUAAUUUGAUUGCACGUAUACUAACUUUGCUUUACAUAAAAUUCCAUUUUCUAACAUUCAUUUUAAUUUCACUUCUAGCUAGUUCAGUUCAAAAGUUACCUAAUUUUCUUUUAUAUGCCAUAUGUUUAUUGAAAGUUACAUCUUCCAUGGUAAGUUAUUUGAAUUCUAGUAUCUAUAAAAGUUAAAAUAUACUUCAAUGUAUUUACUUUGUUAAUUAAUAUAUCAAAAUUACUAAACGGAGAAAGAAAGUAUAUUCUUACACAUAAUUAAAAAUGCCAAGCAGUCUUCUAAUGCUAAAAAUAUUGAAGUUUUAGCUGGAACAAGUCUACUAAUUAGUAUGCCUUACUGUAAUGUGCCGUUAAAUAAAAUGAAUCUCGAAAAUCGGUGGCAUUUACUGCAUUGAAGAGUGAAAUAUAUAUGUAAAUUUUUAUUCGAAAGUUGCUGACGUAGUUGAGUUACUUGCUCCUUCUAUGAACCUUUUAGAUUAAAGGUUGUUCAAAGUAUAGAAUAGAUGGGCUUUAAACCCAUAAAUUGGCUUAUUAGCUAUAAUCUAAACUUGUAUUUUAAUUUUCUACUACUACCCCUUUCAUGUGGUCUAUCAAUUCCUAGAGAAAAAAAAGUAAAGCUUGUCUCAAUGAAACUAUGCAGAUUUAAGUUUCACACUGUGAUAUGUUCACAAGGAAUAAACCACUAGGUGUUGCCUCUUGUUUGAUCUUUCAACGAAGUGGUUUUAAGUAGAUCUAAAAUAUUUCGUGUUUAAUUUAACUGUUUGGAGCAUUCUAAGAGUGAAGUUAAUUAUUCUAUUAUAUUAAAAUAUUUAGUGGCUUCUUUCUAUAUUCCAGAAAACCUUUGCCAUGAAUUUGCUGAAGGAGUCGCUUUGGGGUAGGCACGAGUAUGGAUCCAACAUUGACAUACUUUGGUAGGCUAGUCAGAUAAGAUUUUGGCUCAUUGGAAUAUUGCCUGAAGUAUAUAUUGAAAUGGACGUAAGAUAUAAUAUAUCUGAUGAACGGAAUGAGGGGCAACCAAAUUUGUUAAUUUGUUCUCGAGACAUAAUGAACUAGAUUUAACAAAUUCAUUCUUCUAUGUUUCAGGUAUACCAUUGUAGGCUAUGGAGCUUGUGGGUUUACGAAACAAGGGGUGUGCAAAGCAAAGUGGGGUGACCAAGCUGGUGAAGAAAGACUAGAUUAAAUUACUAAUUCAAGUUGUGUACUAUUUAUUUUACGAUGUUGAAACUCUAAAGUUAAGAAUUUUGUCAUUUUUGUUUGUGGAUGUAAUGAAAUAUUAUUCUUUUUGGAAUGAGUAAAAGCAGUGUGUUUAUUUUAUGAUUUCAGGCC
Molecule: long non-coding RNA, 3014 nt
Filed under: Nicotiana tabacum (common tobacco)
Lineage: Eukaryota; Viridiplantae; Streptophyta; Magnoliopsida; Solanales; Solanaceae
Description: long non-coding RNA (NTAB_LNC002687)
Source: RNAcentral